UCACUGACCGGCUGCCUCCGGCGCGUCCCCGGGAGGGGGCGGGGCCUGCGCACGAGUCCCGGCGGGACCUCCCGGCUCCUAGGUUGGUGCUCGAACCUCCCUAGGGGGCUCAUCACUUCUUCAGCUGGAAGUCCGUCUCCCCAAUCUCCCAUUCGUCCUUCAAGGUUCAGCUCACAUUCCGCCCCGCAUAACUUUCCUGAUCUCUGUUCCCUCCACACAACUGUAUCUGCAUGAUAUUUUAAUCAUUUGUGCACUUUUUAGUUCACCUCAUACUCCCAGCUCCUUGAUACCGGAGACUUUUUUUCUCAUCUUGGCAUUACUAAAAUGACUCGCACAGUCCUUCGCACCCAAUAAACUCUUGUUAAGUUAAA
Long non-coding RNA from Myotis davidii, 371 nucleotides. RefSeq lists it as uncharacterized. NCBI's taxonomy places the organism in Eukaryota, Metazoa, Chordata, Mammalia, Chiroptera, Vespertilionidae. The transcript is spliced from 2 exons. The record is from RefSeq and is a predicted model, not a curated record.